RNAcentral lists this transfer RNA (72 nucleotides) under Ophiopholis japonica. Its description in RNAcentral is "tRNA-Lys". It matches the Rfam family "tRNA". From Rfam's summary of the family: Transfer RNA (tRNA) molecules are approximately 80 nucleotides in length. Their secondary structure includes four short double-helical elements and three loops (D, anti-codon, and T loops). Lineage: Eukaryota; Metazoa; Echinodermata; Ophiuroidea; Amphilepidida; Ophiactidae. The record is from RNAcentral.
GUUUAAUUAGCUUAAGAAAAAGCUUAGGACUCUUAAUCCUACGAAGGAGACUAAAUUAUCCUCCAUUAGACC